RNAcentral lists this ribosomal RNA (253 nucleotides) under uncultured bacterium. RNAcentral's name for it is "partial 16S ribosomal RNA". It matches the Rfam family "Bacterial small subunit ribosomal RNA", at positions 524 to 776 of the family's 1533-position model. The record is from RNAcentral.
GACGAGGGGUCCAAGCGUUGUUCGGAAUCAUUGGGCGUAAAGCGGGUGUAGGUGGCUUUGUAAGUCAGGAGUGAAAUCCCCGAGCUUAACUUGGGAAGUGCUUUUGAAACUGCAGAGCUUGAAUGUGGGAGAGGAUCGUGGAAUUCCAGGUGUAGUGGUGAAAUACGUAGAUAUCUGGAGGAACACCGGUGGCGAAGGCGGCGAUCUUGCCCAACAUUGACACUGAGACCCGAAAGCGUGGGGAUCAAACAGG